UCUUGUUCCCCAAAAUAAAUUCAUUCGUUCUAACCAUUAGCCAUAUGAUUGUACAGAUAGACCAUAUAAAUGGGAUUCUUUCUGUAAAUAGAAAUCAACCUGAUUUGAUUAUGUUUCAUGUCCAUAAUAGUUUUCUCUUGGUAGAAAAAACAUAAACAUGUACAUACAGAUUAUAUUUCUGCUCAUUGCAAGAGGAUAUGAGGAUUUCUACUAUUAUACCGACAGAAUGAUAGCAUCACCUCAAGCAUGUAACCGUGGGAGUUAGUCCUUCAUUAAUGAUUUGGUAAGUUGUCCAUACUGCCUCGAGGGGGGAAGUUUUUAUCACUGCUUUUUGGUUGUAUUUAUGUAAGAGGCAUGGAGGGAGCUGGAACUAAUUUGUGAUUUCUCCUGGCCAUUUUUUUCUUCUAAAAAGAGAAAGUUUUCCGGUGAUCAAACAUUGUAGAUCAGAAAUGUUCUUCAUCGAUGCCCAUCCCAAUUGCUAACAAUUCUUUUGCACACUCAGGUUUGUGCUUUUCAGUGGUAAUUUACUAAACAUACUUUGGGUUAUGAUCCUUUGACAUACACUUAUGCCCUCCCCUACACAUUAUUUUUAGGUUGCCAAAUAUAGUACGAAGGAACUAUAGCAAGUGAAUUGUCGAGUUUGCCAAGCAUAAUGGCACACCUAAUUUUGGCAGAUCAUAUAAAGAGGAUAUCGAGCAAAGAUGCUUUGAGAUUUACCCAUGACUAUAUGCGGUUCCUAUAAACUCCUGUUGCAUGUUUAAUGAUUGCCACAAUAGUUUCUUUUAAUGCACCAGAGAAUUAUAUUUUUUGUAUCAGGUAAAUAAUUCUUUUCUCACUGUUAUUUUUCCAGAUCAAGAUCGAGAUAUAGACAAGGGGUAAUGGCAGCUCGUGCAGUGGCAGAGUGCUGGGGAGGCUGCCGGUGUCGUUGCUGAGAGCUGGGGAGGCUGCUGGUGCCAUGGCCGAGCGAUUGGGCGAGCUGCCGUGGUGGAUGUGGGAGAGCGACCAGUAAGGCAAGACAGAGUUGUGCUGUUGGUUAGGUCCAUGGCGAGGUGCCACGAGAUGGCAUCAGAUUUAUUGGAGGAUAUACAUGAUGACUAGGGUUGAGAAUAAUAUUGCUACUCCUGCAAUUUUGAAUCAUGUGUGAGAGGAUAGAACAGAGAAAAGGAAUAUGAGGCAAUUUUGUUUGCUAUAUGCUUUGUGUGCCGAUGCUUUUGUACGGAGAGAGACACUUCAUGUGAUGUUGCUAUGUGGCCUUCUAUGCUCUGAUGUGUGCUAACUUUGUACAAGGGACAUUCAUAUAUUGGAAUUCAAAU
Molecule: long non-coding RNA, 1313 nt
Filed under: Triticum aestivum (bread wheat)
Lineage: Eukaryota; Viridiplantae; Streptophyta; Magnoliopsida; Poales; Poaceae
Description: long non-coding RNA (TAES_LNC015887)
Source: RNAcentral